AAGAGGAGGCCAGCUGAGCCUCAUCUGAAGAGAGACCUGACCUGUGAAACAGAUUGACCUGAUAUACACUGCUCUGACCAUCCUCAAAAACUACAUCAUGCCUUAUCUUUUGUCCUGAGCCAAAACAAACUAUCCAACAGAUAUUCCUCCUAACAUAGAUUCAGCAGGCUAGGCCACAAGAAGAACCUCCUAGUUGAGUGUGAUUCUCAGGUAAUUGCACUCUGCGAUAGAUUGACUUCGACAUAACGCUUUUCCUGACCAUUCUCAAGAUCUACCUCCUAGUAAAAGGUUCUCAAUCUCUCUUAGUGACAGGCCCAUAAAACCACCUAACAAAUCUGAAUUUUUCUUCUGUCCAGAACUGGAAUCUACCACGAGAAGAGCCUUUGCCUCUUACGAGCAACCAAAAUGUGAGAACUGAAUAAAGCACCCGGCACUGUGACAUGCUCAAGAAAUGUUUGCCGUGAUGUCUGGACCUAUUGGCUUAGCGGAACUCUCAAGUUCCCGAACAUGCCUAAGCUGAAAGCUUCUCUAACCACUGGAUUUUGAAGAUCGGCAGCGCCAGGACUGUAGCACUUGUAAUCAACUCUAUCAUAGCAGUUCGUUCAUAUUCUACUAAAAACAGUUGAUUUUCAGCUGUUCGACAUCCUUAUAGCAAAGCUGUCAGUCAACACCUUUUCCUGAAGGGAAUACGCAUACACUUGGUGGCACCUCACUUUGUCCCCACACACUAGUCAUCCAUCUAAAGACACUAGCAGGGAGUUACCAAGUUCUGCUCAUGAACAUGGUGGCCCAGAUGCUGCUGGAGUUAUCCGCAGAAAUGGCAAGGAUCACAACAAAAUAUCCAAUUUUGGCCCAGCAGAGAGGAAACUUUUACCAACUGAUGGCCGCCCGAUGACCUGAAUGGAAAGAAUUGGUGGCCCCGGGAGAGCACACAAUUGAGAGAAGUGAUCACAUCACCAGAUGUGACGUCACAGUUUGGCACCAGCUGCCAACCUGGGCACAGAGAAUGCACAGUCCACUCAAGUCUGAGCUUCCUCUAUGGAUUCCCCUGGGGUUCAGUACAGAGCACUGUACAGUGGUGUAACCUCUAUACUGGACUGAUGGAAAAACCAAGUUUGCUUAUAUGGUAUAUUACAUUGACUGGGUUUUGUAUGUUGGACUAUUUCUGCAUCUCUGGGAUUAAUUCUACUUGGUGGAUGAUCUUUUUGAUAUGUUCUUAGAUUCUGUAUGAAACAUGAUAGAAUAUUUGAGAAGCAGUAAUAACUUCACUGAAGAAAUAAGAAGUACAGAUUCCUUAGCACUCCCAAACAUCCUGGCAUUAACUUCAGUGGCUCUGAUGGGACCUCACCCCGCCCCAUGCACUGCUGGAUUUUCCUCAACUUGGUUGACAGUUGACAGAACCCAGAGGUUGAAUUGUGAAGCAAAUUUUCUACUUAAGACACAUCUUUUUGUGACUAUGUUUCCAAUCAAUCAGAUUGGGCAUUUUGGGUUGUCUUGACUUCAUCUGUUAUUUUAAACUUAAUACAUUGUCAGUGUUGGGAUUAACUUUUGUUCACUAAAAAUGUUUAACUGCAUAUUCUACCUACUUAGC
This 1591-nucleotide long non-coding RNA is filed under the name Mus caroli (Ryukyu mouse). RNAcentral describes it as "predicted gene 6288 (MGP_CAROLIEiJ_G0003969.1)". Lineage: Eukaryota; Metazoa; Chordata; Mammalia; Rodentia; Muridae. The record is from RNAcentral.